GACGAACGCUGGCGGCGCGCUUAACACAUGCAAGUCGAACGGAAAGGCCUGCUUUCCCUUGUGGAUUGCGGGUACUCGAGUGGCGAACGGGUGAGUAACACGUGAGUGGUCUGCCCCCAACUUGGGUAUAAGCCUGGGAAACUGGGUCUAAUUCCCGAUAGGACUGCAGGGUGGUGCCUGUGGUGGAAAACGAUUUUCUAGUGGUUGGGGAUGAGCUCGCGGCCUAUCAGCUCGUUGGUGGGGUAAUGGCCUACCAAGGCGGCGACGGGUAGCCGGCCUGAGAGGGUGGACGGCCACAUUGGGACUGAGAUACGGCCCAGACUCCUACGGGAGGCAGCAGUGGGGAAUAUUGCACAAUGGGCGGAAGCCUGAUGCAGCGACGCCGCGUGGGGGAUGACGGCCUUCGGGUUGUAAACUCCUUUCGACCGCGAGGAAGCCACCUGGUUGGAAGGGUGGUGACGGUAGUGGUAGAAGAAGCACCGGCUAACUACGUG
RNAcentral lists this ribosomal RNA (494 nucleotides) under uncultured bacterium. Its description in RNAcentral is "partial 16S ribosomal RNA". It matches the Rfam family "Bacterial small subunit ribosomal RNA", at positions 28 to 507 of the family's 1533-position model. The record is from RNAcentral.